This 314-nucleotide signal recognition particle RNA is filed under the name Phascolarctos cinereus (koala). Its description in RNAcentral is "Metazoan signal recognition particle RNA (ENSPCIG00000005483.2)". It matches the Rfam family "Metazoan signal recognition particle RNA". Rfam says of the family: The signal recognition particle (SRP) is a universally conserved ribonucleoprotein. It is involved in the co-translational targeting of proteins to membranes. The record is from Rfam by way of RNAcentral. Lineage: Eukaryota; Metazoa; Chordata; Mammalia; Diprotodontia; Phascolarctidae.
GCUGGGUGUGGUGAUACAUGUCUGUAAUCUCAGUUAUUAAGGAGGAUGAAGCUGGUGAAUUAAUUGCUUGAGCUCAGGAGUUCUGAGGUGCAGUGGGCCAAAGCCACUAGGAUACCCCCAGUAAGUGUAGCACAGAUAUGAUGAACUUCCAGCAGUGAGGCAGGGAAGUAAGUACCAGGCUGCUCAAGGUGGGGUGAACUGGUCCAGGUCAGAAAUGGAGCAGGGCAGAACUUAUAUGCAGAGCAGCAUUAGGAUGGGGGCAGGGGAGUGGCUACUGUAUUUACAGCCUGAACUAGACAGGGAUCCAGUCUCAA